AGCGUACACGGUGGAUGCCCUGGCAGUCAGAGGCGAUGAAGGACGUGCUAAUCUGCGAUAAGCGUCGGUAAGGUGAUAUGAACCGUUAUAACCGGCGAUUUCCGAAUGGGGAAACCCAGUGUGAUUCGUCACACUAUCAUUAACUGAAUCCAUAGGUUAAUGAGGCGAACCGGGGGAACUGAAACAUCUAAGUACCCCGAGGAAAAGAAAUCAACCGAGAUUCCCCCAGUAGCGGCGAGCGAACGGGGAGCAGCCCAGAGCCUGAAUCAGUGUGUGUGUUAGUGGAAGCGUCUGGAAAGGCGCGCGAUACAGGGUGACAGCCCCGUACACAAAAAUGCACAUGCUGUGAGCUCGAUGAGUAGGGCGGGACACGUGGUAUCCUGUCUGAAUAUGGGGGGACCAUCCUCCAAGGCUAAAUACUCCUGACUGACCGAUAGUGAACCAGUACCGUGAGGGAAAGGCGAAAAGAACCCCGGCGAGGGGAGUGAAAAAGAACCUGAAACCGUGUACGUACAAGCAGUGGGAGCACGCUUAGGCGUGUGACUGCGUACCUUUUGUAUAAUGGGUCAGCGACUUAUAUUCUGUAGCAAGGUUAACCGAAUAGGGGAGCCGAAGGGAAACCGAGUCUUAACUGGGCGUUAAGUUGCAGGGUAUAGACCCGAAACCCGGUGAUCUAGCCAUGGGCAGGUUGAAGGUUGGGUAACACUAACUGGAGGACCGAACCGACUAAUGUUGAAAAAUUAGCGGAUGACUUGUGGCUGGGGGUGAAAGGCCAAUCAAACCGGGAGAUAGCUGGUUCUCCCCGAAAGCUAUUUAGGUAGCGCCUCGUGAAUUCAUCUCCGGGGGUAGAGCACUGUUUCGGCAAGGGGGUCAUCCCGACUUACCAACCCGAUGCAAACUGCGAAUACCGGAGAAUGUUAUCACGGGAGACACACGGCGGGUGCUAACGUCCGUCGUGAAGAGGGAAACAACCCAGACCGCCAGCUAAGGUCCCAAAGUCAUGGUUAAGUGGGAAACGAUGUGGGAAGGCCCAGACAGCCAGGAUGUUGGCUUAGAAGCAGCCAUCAUUUAAAGAAAGCGUAAUAGCUCACUGGUCGAGUCGGCCUGCGCGGAAGAUGUAACGGGGCUAAACCAUGCACCGAAGCUGCGGCAGCGACGCUUAUGCGUUGUUGGGUAGGGGAGCGUUCUGUAAGCCUGCGAAGGUGUGCUGUGAGGCAUGCUGGAGGUAUCAGAAGUGCGAAUGCUGACAUAAGUAACGAUAAAGCGGGUGAAAAGCCCGCUCGCCGGAAGACCAAGGGUUCCUGUCCAACGUUAAUCGGGGCAGGGUGAGUCGACCCCUAAGGCGAGGCCGAAAGGCGUAGUCGAUGGGAAACAGGUUAAUAUUCCUGUACUUGGUGUUACUGCGAAGGGGGGACGGAGAAGGCUAUGUUGGCCGGGCGACGGUUGUCCCGGUUUAAGCGUGUAGGCUGGUUUUCCAGGCAAAUCCGGAAAAUCAAGGCUGAGGCGUGAUGACGAGGCACUACGGUGCUGAAGCAACAAAUGCCCUGCUUCCAGGAAAAGCCUCUAAGCAUCAGGUAACAUCAAAUCGUACCCCAAACCGACACAGGUGGUCAGGUAGAGAAUACCAAGGCGCUUGAGAGAACUCGGGUGAAGGAACUAGGCAAAAUGGUGCCGUAACUUCGGGAGAAGGCACGCUGAUAUGUAGGUGAAGCGACUUGCUCGUGGAGCUGAAAUCAGUCGAAGAUACCAGCUGGCUGCAACUGUUUAUUAAAAACACAGCACUGUGCAAACACGAAAGUGGACGUAUACGGUGUGACGCCUGCCCGGUGCCGGAAGGUUAAUUGAUGGGGUCAGCGCAAGCGAAGCUCUUGAUCGAAGCCCCGGUAAACGGCGGCCGUAACUAUAACGGUCCUAAGGUAGCGAAAUUCCUUGUCGGGUAAGUUCCGACCUGCACGAAUGGCGUAAUGAUGGCCAGGCUGUCUCCACCCGAGACUCAGUGAAAUUGAACUCGCUGUGAAGAUGCAGUGUACCCGCGGCAAGACGGAAAGACCCCGUGAACCUUUACUAUAGCUUGACACUGAACAUUGAGCCUUGAUGUGUAGGAUAGGUGGGAGGCUUUGAAGUGUGGACGCCAGUCUGCAUGGAGCCGACCUUGAAAUACCACCCUUUAAUGUUUGAUGUUCUAACGUGGACCCGUGAUCCGGGUUGCGGACAGUGUCUGGUGGGUAGUUUGACUGGGGCGGUCUCCUCCUAAAGAGUAACGGAGGAGCACGAAGGUUGGCUAAUCCUGGUCGGACAUCAGGAGGUUAGUGCAAUGGCAUAAGCCAGCUUGACUGCGAGCGUGACGGCGCGAGCAGGUGCGAAAGCAGGUCAUAGUGAUCCGGUGGUUCUGAAUGGAAGGGCCAUCGCUCAACGGAUAAAAGGUACUCCGGGGAUAACAGGCUGAUACCGCCCAAGAGUUCAUAUCGACGGCGGUGUUUGGCACCUCGAUGUCGGCUCAUCACAUCCUGGGGCUGAAGUAGGUCCCAAGGGUAUGGCUGUUCGCCAUUUAAAGUGGUACGCGAGCUGGGUUUAGAACGUCGUGAGACAGUUCGGUCCCUAUCUGCCGUGGGCGCUGGAGAACUGAGGGGGGCUGCUCCUAGUACGAGAGGACCGGAGUGGACGCAUCACUGGUGUUCGGGUUGUCAUGCCAAUGGCACUGCCCGGUAGCUAAAUGCGGAAGAGAUAAGUGCUGAAAGCAUCUAAGCACGAAACUUGCCCCGAGAUGAGUUCUCCCUGACUCCUUGA
This 2787-nucleotide ribosomal RNA is filed under the name Escherichia coli. Its description in RNAcentral is "bacterial LSU rRNA". It matches the Rfam family "Bacterial large subunit ribosomal RNA". The record is from RNAcentral. Lineage: Bacteria; Pseudomonadati; Pseudomonadota; Gammaproteobacteria; Enterobacterales; Enterobacteriaceae.